This 2118-nucleotide ribosomal RNA is filed under the name Triticum aestivum (bread wheat). RNAcentral describes it as "partial small subunit ribosomal RNA". The record is from RNAcentral. Lineage: Eukaryota; Viridiplantae; Streptophyta; Magnoliopsida; Poales; Poaceae.
AUGGGCGCCGCUACCGCGGGCCAGCAGGCGGGAGGGACCCCGGACAAGCUCCGGCACGUCGAGUCCAUGUCCGAGCGGCCCUCCGGCGCCGGGUCCAUCUCCGGGAUCAGCGCCGUCGUCCUGGGCGAGUCGCUCGCCGACGAGGAGCACGAACUCGUCUUCCCCAGCGCCGAGUUCUCCGCCACCGCACUCGUCUCCUCCCCCCAGCAGUACAAGGAGAUGUACGAGAGGUCCAUCAAGGACCCGGCCGGGUUCUGGUCAGAGAUCGCCGACGCCUUCUACUGGAAGGAGAAGUGGAACCCCAGCGAGGUCUGCUCCGAAAACCUCGACGUCAGCAAGGGCCCCGUCCACAUCAGUUGGUUCAAAGGGGGCAAAACCAACAUAUGCUACAAUGCCGUCGACCGCAACGUCGAGGCUGGGAAUGGGGACAAGAUUGCACUGUACUGGGAGGGCAAUGAGCCCGGCCAGGAUGGGAAGCUCACCUAUUCUGAGCUCGUGGAGAAGGUUUGCCAGCUUGCAAAUUACUUGAAAAGUGUUGGUGUCGGCAAGGGGGAUGCUGUGAUCAUCUACUUACCGAUGCUGCUGGAGCUUCCCAUUGCCAUGCUUGCAUGUGCGCGUAUCGGUGCUGUCCAUUCGGUUGUGUUUGCUGGCUUCUCUGCGGAUUCGCUGGCCCAAAGGAUCGUUGAUUGCAAGCCUAAGCUUGUGCUCACUUGUAAUGCCGUGAAAAGGGGGCCCAAGCCCAUUCUUCUCAAAGACAUAGUGGAUGCUGCUCUGGUGGAAAGUGAGAAGAAUGGAUUCUCUGUAGGUAUUUGUUUGACAUACGAAAACCAGUCAGUAAUGAAGAGGCAAGACACAAAAUGGCAAGCAGGAAGGGAUGUUUGGUGGCAGGAUGUUGUGACCAACUUUCCUACCAAGUGUGAUGUGGAAUGGGUGGAUGCGGAGGAUCCAUUGUUUCUUUUGUACACGAGUGGCAGCACUGGAAAACCAAAGGGUGUUAUGCAUACUUCUGGGGGCUAUAUGGUGUAUACUGCAACAACAUUUAAGUAUGCAUUUGAUUACAAGCCAACAGACAUAUACUGGUGCACUGCAGACUGUGGUUGGAUUACUGGACAUAGCUAUGUGACAUAUGGCCCACUCCUGAAUGGAGCUGCAGUUCUUGUUUUUGAAGGGACUCCGAACUACCCUAAUGCUGGUCGGUGCUGGGACAUUGUGGACAAGUACAAGGUGUCAAUAUUUUAUACCGCACCAACACUCGUCCGUUCACUCAUGCGCGAUGGUGAUGAGUAUGUUACACGCUACUCUCGAAAAUCUCUCCGAGUCCUGGGAAGCGUUGGUGAGCCAAUUAAUCCUAGUGCAUGGAGAUGGUUCUACAAUGUUGUUGGGGAUUCAAAGUGCCCCAUAUCAGAUACUUGGUGGCAGACUGAAACUGGUGGCUUCAUGAUGACUCCUUUACCUGGUGCCUGGCCUCAGAAACCGGGUUCUGCAACAUUUCCUUUCUUUGGUGUGCAGCCGGUCAUUGUUGAUGAGAAAGGACAGGAGAUUGAAGGAGAAUGUAGCGGAUAUCUUUGCAUUAAAAAAUCAUGGCCUGGGGCUUUCCGGACCCUCUAUGGAGAUCAUGACAGAUAUGAGACCACAUACUUCAAGCCAUUUGCUGGCUACUAUUUUACUGGUGAUGGUUGCAGCAGGGACAAAGAUGGUUACCACUGGCUUACUGGAAGAGUAGAUGAUGUUAUCAACGUUAGUGGGCAUCGAAUUGGCACAGCAGAGGUUGAGUCUGCUUUGGUUUCGCAUCCACAGUGUGCAGAGGCCGCUGUUGUUGGUGUUGAGCAUGAGGUCAAAGGUCAGGGAAUAUAUGCUUUUGUAACUUUGGUGGAUGGCGUUCCUUACAGUGAAGAACUACGAAAGAGCCUCAUAGCAAAAGUCCGCACUCAGAUCGGGGCGUUUGCAGCUCCAGACAGGAUCCACUGGGCGCCGGGGCUCCCCAAGACCCGCAGCGGCAAGAUCAUGCGCAGGAUCCUGCGCAAAAUUGCCGCGAAGCAGCUGGACGAGCUCGGCGACAUAAGCACUCUCGCUGACCCCGGCGUCGUCGACCAGCUGAUCGCGCUCAAAGAUUGCUAG